CGUGGUUUGAGCAAUAUUUACAUGUUCGUGGGUUUUUAAAUUCGUGAAUUUUAGUUUUCUUAAAUAAAAAUUGAAAAAUUAAAGCCUUUAGAAACGAAGGUUACAAAUAGUCUGGAUUGAAGGAAAUUGCAAAGUAAACAUUGACUCGUGUAAAUCGUAGUGACAACACUAAUUAACCCAAGAUAAAGUGAUCAACAGAUUAAGGACCAUCAAAGGUGUUAAUUAGGCCAUAAACAUGUCACCUAAAGAAAUCAGUAUCAUAAACAAAUGCUAUAAUUGUAUCUUGAAUUGUCA
Molecule: long non-coding RNA, 294 nt
Filed under: Mytilus galloprovincialis (Mediterranean mussel)
Lineage: Eukaryota; Metazoa; Mollusca; Bivalvia; Mytilida; Mytilidae
Source: RNAcentral